Long non-coding RNA from Medicago truncatula (barrel medic), 1352 nucleotides. RefSeq lists it as uncharacterized. NCBI's taxonomy places the organism in Eukaryota, Viridiplantae, Streptophyta, Magnoliopsida, Fabales, Fabaceae. The record is from RefSeq and is a predicted model, not a curated record. The transcript has 3 exons.
CGUUCAAAUUGUUGUCUCUGAAGAUUCCGACCGACAAUCGUUGCUCACCCACUAACCGUAACUCUUUCUCUCUCUCUCUCUCUCUCUCUCUCUCUCAAACUUAAUUAGUACCUAAUCAUCUGUUUCGUAACCUAAGCUGAAUCAUUAAACCCUAACUAUAUCCACUCGCAUAAUUAGUACAAAAAAUAUGGAACACGAUGAAGACCGUUUGUCGAAUCUACCAAAAGUCAUUCUUCAUAACAUCAUGUCGAGGAGGAAUCCAGGAGGUUUAUAUUGAUGCCCAGUAUCUUGAGAAAUUUUGUUAUAGUCCUGGUCUUCGUUUUAACGCACAAUUUAAGAUUGUUUUUGAUAGAUGCCAAAAUUUGAAAUAUUUAAAAUUGUUGUAUUUGAGGAGAAGUAUUAUCACCGAUAAAUGGUUUCUUGAACUGUUUUCAGAAUAUCCUUUCCUUGAGAGUUUAAAAUUGCAUUAUUGUAAAAUGGCUGAGACGAUUAAUAUUUCAAGUGUUCAACUUAAGGUGUUGAAGUUAUCUAAUUGUUCUAACUUGAAGGAGGUUAAUAUUGAUGCUCCAAAUCUAUUAUCAUGUGUAUAUUGCGAUGGUGUUGAUUCAGAGCCUAUUAUAUCUUUUUUGACAAGUUCUAGUCAACUAAAAGUUGAUAUGACUUUUUUCAUUGAUUAUCAUCAUCUUUGUUUGUGACUUGAGGGAAUUUGUGCAAAACAUCAAACCUCAAAAUGUUUUGUCAUCUCUGUCCCUAUACAUCUAUGAUCGAACUGAGGAUGUACCGGUGGUAUUUCAAGUGUCAUCCCCUCCAGCAAGUAUCGAACACUUGCACCUUCAAAGUGUUCCAGAUAAUGAAACUUUGUUUUCAUCUACUAUAAAUACCUUACUUUCAAUUUGCUGCCCUGCAUUUAUAUCUUUGAGCUCACAUUCUUUGUGCAGUAAAGCAUUCAUUGAGUUUUUAUAUGAGACGCUAAUGGAAAGAAAGGGGGAUGACUGCUUGUGCAGUUCUAGUGAUACUAAGUGUUGGUGGCAUGGCUUGAAGAAUGUGAAAGUCAUAAGCUCAAUGAAGAUUGAUGAUAAUAUUGACUUCAAGACCAUGCUAGAAUUGUUGCCAAUUGAAGAAGAAAUUAGCUUUGUGUUAGAGUUUUAAUGUUGCUGAUGCUGUCAUAAACUCAGUGACAUGUUUUUACUUCAAAGUUUGAUGUUACCUCUUAAAUGCACAAUGACACAUUUGUUUUGAUAUACACUAUGGAAAAUGCUGAACGGUAUCGUAGAGUUAGUAACUCUUAGUUUGUUCUUUAUUAUUGGCUUUACUUAUUUGUAGUUCUUUAUUAUCUUCCAAUGAUUGAUAAC